AUACCCGCUGAACUUAAGCAUAUCAUUUAGCGGAGGA
RNAcentral lists this ribosomal RNA (37 nucleotides) under Radopholus similis. RNAcentral's name for it is "partial 28S ribosomal RNA". The record is from RNAcentral. Lineage: Eukaryota; Metazoa; Nematoda; Chromadorea; Rhabditida; Pratylenchidae.